UGCUUUGGCCUGUCACAGAAGCUGC
RNAcentral lists this non-coding RNA (25 nucleotides) under Mus musculus (house mouse). The record is from RNAcentral. Lineage: Eukaryota; Metazoa; Chordata; Mammalia; Rodentia; Muridae.